Molecule: ribosomal RNA, 358 nt
Filed under: uncultured Sulfuricella sp.
Lineage: Bacteria; Pseudomonadati; Pseudomonadota; Betaproteobacteria; Nitrosomonadales; Sulfuricellaceae
Description: bacterial SSU rRNA
Rfam family: Bacterial small subunit ribosomal RNA
Source: RNAcentral
AACUUGCUAGAGAUGGCUUGGUGCCCGAAAGGGAACCUGGACACAGGUGCUGCAUGGCUGUCGUCAGCUCGUGUCGUGAGAUGUUGGGUUAAGUCCCGCAACGAGCGCAACCCUUGUCAUUAAUUGCCAUCAUUCAGUUGGGCACUUUAAUGAGACUGCCGGUGACAAACCGGAGGAAGGUGGGGAUGACGUCAAGUCCUCAUGGCCCUUAUGGGUAGGGCUUCACACGUAAUACAAUGGUCGGUACAGAGGGUUGCCAACCCGCGAGGGGGAGCUAAUCCCAGAAAACCGAUCGUAGUCCGGAUUGCAGUCUGCAACUCGACUGCAUGAAGUCGGAAUCGCUAGUAAUCGCGGAUCA